AUUGAACGCCAGCGGGAUGCUUUACACAUGCAAGUCGAACGGCAGCGCGAGAAAGCUUGCUUUCUUGGCGGCGAGUGGCGAACGGGUGAGUAAUGUAUCGGAACGUGCCCAGUAGCGGGGGAUAACUGGCCGAAAGGUCAGCUAAUACCGCACACGCCCUACGGGGGAAAGGGGGGGAUCGCAAGGCCUCUCACUAUUGGAGCGGCCGAUAUCGGAUUAGCUAGUUGGUGGGGUAAAGGCCUACCAAGGCAACGAUCCGUAGCUGGUUUGAGAGGACGACCAGCCACACUGGGACUGAGACACGGCCCAGACUCCUACGGGAGGCAGCAGUGGGGAAUUUUGGACAAUGGGGGGAACCCUGAUCCAGCCAUCCCGCGUGUGCGAUGAAGGCCUUCGGGUUGUAAAGCACUUUUGGCAGGGAAGAAACAGCCUGGGCUAAUACCCUGGGUCAAUGACGGUACCUGCAGAAUAAGCACCGGCUAACUACGUGCCAGCAGCCGCGGUAAUACGUAGGGUGCAAGCGUUAAUCGGAAUUACUGGGCGUAAAGCGUGCGCAGGCGGUUCGGAAAGAAAGGUGUGAAAUCCCAGGGCUUAACCUUGGAACUGCACUUUUAACUACCGGGCUAGAGUACGUCAGAGGGGGGUAGAAUUCCACGUGUAGCAGUGAAAUGCGUAGAGAUGUGGAGGAAUACCGAUGGCGAAGGCAGCCCCCUGGGAUGAUACUGACGCUCAUGCACGAAAGCGUGGGGAGCAAACAGG
Molecule: ribosomal RNA, 759 nt
Filed under: uncultured Alcaligenaceae bacterium
Lineage: Bacteria; Pseudomonadati; Pseudomonadota; Betaproteobacteria; Burkholderiales; Alcaligenaceae
Description: bacterial SSU rRNA
Rfam family: Bacterial small subunit ribosomal RNA
Source: RNAcentral